This 355-nucleotide ribosomal RNA is filed under the name Chaetoceros curvisetus. RNAcentral's name for it is "partial Bacterial large subunit ribosomal RNA". It matches the Rfam family "Bacterial large subunit ribosomal RNA", at positions 178 to 580 of the family's 2925-position model. The record is from RNAcentral. Lineage: Eukaryota; Bacillariophyta; Thalassiosirophyceae; Chaetocerotales; Chaetocerotaceae.
GGCUAACGCAGGGAACUGAAACAUCUAAGUACCUGCAGGAAAAGAAAUCAACCGAGAUUCCCUUAGUAGUGGCGAGCGAACGGGGACUAGCCCUUAAGUGGCUUUGAGAUUAGCGGAACGCUCUGGAAAGUGCGGCCAUAGUGGGUGAUAGCCCUGUACGCGAAAAGGUCUUAGAAGUGAAAUCGAGUAGGACGGAGCACGAGAAACUUUGUCUGAAUAUGGGGGGACCAUCCUCCAAGGCUAAAUACUACUGACUGACCGAUAGUGAACUAGUACCGUGAGGGAAAGGCGAAAAGAACCCCGGCGAGGGGAGUGAAACAGAACCUGAAACCGUGUACGUACAAGCAGUGGGAGC